Molecule: transfer RNA, 75 nt
Filed under: Coemansia sp. RSA 2610
Lineage: Eukaryota; Fungi; Kickxellomycota; Kickxellomycetes; Kickxellales; Kickxellaceae
Also listed under: 2 other names
Description: tRNA-Asn
Rfam family: tRNA
About the family: Transfer RNA (tRNA) molecules are approximately 80 nucleotides in length. Their secondary structure includes four short double-helical elements and three loops (D, anti-codon, and T loops).
Source: RNAcentral
CUUCCGUGGCGCAAUUGGUUAGCGCGUCUGACUGUUAAUCAGGAGGUUGCUAGUUCAAGCCUAGCCGGGAGCGGA